AAAUGGCUCACCAAGGCGACGAUCCCUAGCUGGUCUGAGAGGAUGAUCAGCCACACUGGAACUGAGACACGGUCCAGACUCCUACGGGAGGCAGCAGUGGGGAAUAUUGCACAAUGGGCGCAAGCCUGAUGCAGCCAUGCCGCGUGUGUGAAGAAGGCCUUCGGGUUGUAAAGCACUUUCAGUCGUGAGGAAGGUNGUAGAGUUAAUAGCACCAUCAUUUGACGUUAGCGACAGAAGAAGCACCGGCUAACUCCGUGCCAGCAGCCGCGGUAAUACGGAGGGUGCGAGCGUUAAUCGGAAUUACUGGGCGUAAAGCGCAUGCAGNUGGUUUGUUAAGUCAGAUGUGAAAGCCCGGGGCUCAACCUCGGAAUAGCAUUU
This 378-nucleotide ribosomal RNA is filed under the name Vibrio sp. R-618. RNAcentral's name for it is "bacterial SSU rRNA". It matches the Rfam family "Bacterial small subunit ribosomal RNA", at positions 258 to 628 of the family's 1533-position model. Lineage: Bacteria; Pseudomonadati; Pseudomonadota; Gammaproteobacteria; Vibrionales; Vibrionaceae. The record is from RNAcentral.